GAAACUGGGGCUAAUAUCUGAUAGGUGAGGAUGCCUGAAUGUUUUAUCAUUCAACGGGCUUUAGGAACAUGCUUCUAAAGUCGCUUGGGGAUGGGGCCGCGACCGAUCAGGUUGUUGGUGAGGUAAUGGCUCACCAAGCCUAUAACCGGUACGGGCCGUGAGAGCGGUAGCCCGGAGAUGGGUUCUGAGACAAGGACCCAGGCCCUACGGGGCGCAGCAGUCGCGAAAACUCUUCAAUGCAAGAAAGUGUGACGGGGCUACCCCGAGUGCCCUCCGCUGAGGAUGGCCUUUCCUUGGUAUAACCAUCCAGGGGAAUAAGGAGAGGGCAAGACUGGUGUCAGCCGUCGCGGUAAUACCAGCUCUCCGAGUGGUAGGGAUGAUUAUUGGGCUUAAAGCGUCAGUAGCCGGCUUAGCAAGUCUCCUGUUAAUUUCGGCGACCUAAUCGUUGAGCCGCGGGAGAUACUACUAGGCUAGGAGGCGGGAGAGGUCGACGGUACUUCUGGGGUAGGGGUGAAAUCCUAUAAUCCCAGGAGGACCACUAGUGGCGAAGGUUGUUGACUAGAACGCGCUCGACGGUGAGGGACGAAGGCUGGGGGAGCAAACCGAAUUAGAUACCCGGGUAGUCCCAGCCGUAAACGAUGCGGGCUAGGUGUUGGGGUGGCUACGUGCCACUUCAGUGCCGCAGGGAAACCAUUAAGCCCGCCGCCUGGGGAGUACGGCCGCAAGGCUGAAACUUAAAGGAAUUGGCGGGGGAGCACCACAAGGCGUGAAGCCUGCGGUUCAAUUGGAUUCAACGCCGGGAAUCACUAGUGAAU
Molecule: ribosomal RNA, 815 nt
Filed under: uncultured methanogenic archaeon
Lineage: Archaea; Methanobacteriati; Methanobacteriota
Description: bacterial SSU rRNA
Rfam family: Archaeal small subunit ribosomal RNA
Source: RNAcentral